Bombus impatiens (common eastern bumble bee) is the source of this 247-nucleotide long non-coding RNA. RefSeq lists it as uncharacterized. NCBI's taxonomy places the organism in Eukaryota, Metazoa, Arthropoda, Insecta, Hymenoptera, Apidae. The transcript is spliced from 2 exons. The record is from RefSeq and is a predicted model, not a curated record.
GAAAUCGUGGUACGAACAAAAAGAAGAUAUUUUCCUGCAAGUACGGGUGAAAGAUCUAUCAAAUUAGUAUUAUCUUUUCAGCUGUUUCUUAUAAAUAAAAGUGGAAUGAAUAAAUUUGUAUCUAAUACAAUUUCUAAAUAUAAAAAUUCGAAUUACUUCUGCAAGGAAAAUCAAUGCCUCUCUUAUUUCAUUUCAUCAGGAUUUAUGAUACAGGCUGUAUAAUUAUUAUAUAUAUAAUUAUUCUGUA